RNAcentral lists this ribosomal RNA (327 nucleotides) under uncultured eukaryote. RNAcentral describes it as "partial 18S ribosomal RNA". It matches the Rfam family "Eukaryotic small subunit ribosomal RNA", at positions 1470 to 1796 of the family's 1831-position model. The record is from RNAcentral.
CCCUUAGAUGUUCUGGGCCGCACACGCGCUACACUGAAGGAGGCAGCGUGUACUCCUGGAUCGAAAGAUUUGGGUAACCCGCGAAUCUCCUUCGUGCUAGGGAUUGAGGUUUGCAAUUAUCCUUCAUGAACGAGGAAUUCCCAGUAAGUGCAAGUCAUAAGCUUGCGCUGACUACGUCCCUGCCCUUUGUACACACUGCCCGUCGCUACUACCGAUUGAAUGAUUUAGUGAGGACUUCGGACUGGGACCGAUGCGGCUUUCGGGCUGCGUCGGUAUUCUGGAAAGAUGUCCAAACUGUAUCAUUUAGAGGAAGUAAAAGUCGUANCA